CCUAACGCCUAAGACAGACCCGCGUUUUUUGACCUUAACAGAAGCCUCCCCCUGAACAUCUUCUUCUUCAUCUUACCCCUAUCUUUUCAUCUCCAGCAAAGAACCCACACACAACACCAACCAGUGACAACUCCAAAAAUCAGACCCCCCACCCAGUUCUUCUUCUUCAACAAGCAGAAGCCGUUUCUGGAAAAGGAAGGCAUUCUAACCUAGACUACACACAAUAUCAUCAACGGCUUUCCCUAUUCUCUAGAACAAAUCAACAGAAGACACAAAAAUCCUAGACCUAAAAACCUAAAAAAGCGAAAGGAGCUGCCAUAGGAAUGUAUGGAAUAUUUGUUAUUUCUGCUUGCACUUGACUUUUUCGACUCCAAAUCCUUUCCGUAAAAUGGAGAUAGGGACUUGUUGUCUUGCUUGAACGACCUCAUUUUUGGUAUUUUUGCUAGAUUUUUUCUUUGCAGUUGGAUUGCUGACUAAUCUGCUGCCACAACAGUCAAUUUGCACAAAUAUUCGAUUAUAUGACCCCUUGUAUUUCGCUGCUCUUUCCUCUCUUUACCAUAAUCUAUCGGAACACACACACAUAGUCACGCACACGAACAGAUUUUCGAAACAUGGAGUUUAAUUGAAGUCUGGAAUCAUUUCUAAGUUUGAGUCAUGUGGAGGUUGCCGUUGAAGGUUUAAGACCGAAAUUCCGGUUCGGUUUGUGCUGAUUUCGUUAGAAGCCGUGUCGAUGUCCGGUUGUAAUUGUUGCUUCAUUUCAGUCCGAGUAAUUGUCGCAACUCAAUUAAAUCGAUGUUUGAUUGGAAAGCUGAAUUUUCUCACUCACACCAGGCCUGACAUCUCCUUUGCAGUGCAACACUAAAGUCAGUUCAUGCAGUAGGCCUGCAUUCCUCACAUGCAAGCAGCUCUGCACCUGCUUAGAUAUCUUAAAGGUAACCUCUGAUUUUGGUAUAUUUCUGAAUGAUUAUCCUGAUUUUCUUUGAGUGUUUACUAUGACCGUGAUUGGGGGGCCUGUCCAAAUAGCAGGAAGUCAAAUGAUUCAGUUGUCUUAUACCUCUAGUGCCACUAAAUUUGCUGAUAUGUUUACUAAGCCCUUGACAGGGGCUGUUCAUCAUGUCCAUCUUCACAAGUUGGGGGUUCUCUCACCCUCCAACUUGCUGGGGGUAUUGAGAUUAGUGCAAAUGGUGUUACAUAAUAUCUUUGGUUAGUAGUAGUAUCUUAGUAGUAGUAUUAGUAGCAGUAUUAAGUCAUUCUUUGUUCAUUCUUUGUAUUGGCCUCGAAGCCCACUUUGUAUUUAUUAAGCAAAGUAGUAGUUUAGAGUUUGGGCCAGACGGGUCGUAUAUAUAGAGAAGCCCAUAUGUGUUGUAGACGGGAUUUUCAUUUUAUUUUUAUUCUUGCCAGUAAUAAGAAAAGCCCCAAUUUCUCUCUCUAAA
Non-coding RNA from Nicotiana tabacum (common tobacco), 1433 nucleotides. The record is from RefSeq and is a predicted model, not a curated record. NCBI's taxonomy places the organism in Eukaryota, Viridiplantae, Streptophyta, Magnoliopsida, Solanales, Solanaceae.